Misgurnus anguillicaudatus (oriental weatherfish) is the source of this 554-nucleotide non-coding RNA. The record is from RefSeq and is a predicted model, not a curated record. Lineage: Eukaryota; Metazoa; Chordata; Actinopteri; Cypriniformes; Cobitidae.
CUCUCUCUUUCUCUCCACAGGCUGCGGGCUGGGACACAAAGAUCGGUUAUUCAGACUGCUGGUUUUCUCUCACCUCUCCACUUGGGACGACAUACAGUAAGUACGGUACAGGUAGGGUUUCCUCGUUCUCUUUCUCUCUCUCCACAGUAAUACUGCACAUCCAGAGCUCACUCACAGCAUAGGCCAGGUAAUAACAACUGAGACCUGCAGCCUUUUCGUUCUUCCAUGGCGAGGUUAGCGAAGGCGGGGGUUUUCUGACAAUACACACACAGCAGUACACAGCACCACGUCAAAGUGAAGUUUCCACAACAACACAGACUCACCCACCGCACUCAAAGUGAACAUCUAGGACGCCCCGUCUUCCUCCACUUCGCCGGAGUCCGUUAGACGUGUUUAGCACAGCCCAGUCAGCAUUCACGUCGCUGUGAUAGCCCCAGUUUGUCCUCCUCCGGCUCACCCACCACACUGUUCAGGGGUAGGGCCGUCCUCCUUUUCCCGGAGUCGUUUGCUACAAAACAGGUUAGUAUACAGUGUGUCCCAAACUCAAUGUUCCA